This 253-nucleotide ribosomal RNA is filed under the name uncultured bacterium. Its description in RNAcentral is "partial 16S ribosomal RNA". It matches the Rfam family "Bacterial small subunit ribosomal RNA", at positions 524 to 776 of the family's 1533-position model. The record is from RNAcentral.
UACGGAGGGUGCAAGCGUUGUCCGGAAUCACUGGGCGUAAAGGGCGCGUAGGCGGAUGGUACAGUCAGAUGUGAAAUUCCCGGGCUUAACCUGGGGGCUGCAUUUGAUACGUGCGAUCUGGAGUGAGGAAGAGGGUCGUGGAAUUCCCAGUGUAGAGGUGAAAUUCGUAGAUAUUGGGAAGAACACCGGUGGCGAAGGCGGCGACCUGGUCCUUUACUGACGCUGAGGCGCGAAAGCGUGGGGAGCAAACAGG